UUUUAUAUAGUUUAACAAAAACAUUACAUUUUCACUGUAAAAAAAGUACAUAAUUACUUAUAAAAU
RNAcentral lists this transfer RNA (66 nucleotides) under Pachycephus cruentatus. Its description in RNAcentral is "tRNA-Glu". The record is from RNAcentral. Lineage: Eukaryota; Metazoa; Arthropoda; Insecta; Hymenoptera; Cephidae.